This is a long non-coding RNA of Eptesicus fuscus (big brown bat), 568 nucleotides long. RefSeq lists it as uncharacterized. The transcript is spliced from 4 exons. NCBI's taxonomy places the organism in Eukaryota, Metazoa, Chordata, Mammalia, Chiroptera, Vespertilionidae. The record is from RefSeq and is a predicted model, not a curated record.
UCGCCCCGCACCCUCACCCUCACCCUCACCCGUCCUCUAGGGCUGCUCCAGAGCGGGUUCCCUCCAGCCUCCUUCACCUGUUCUGGUCCCACCGGAAGCGCAGUGGCCAGAGAGAGAGGGAGAGGGUGGGGGGCAGGUUAGCUCUCUCCAGGCACAUCCAGGCAACUUGCCCUGGACCAGAGCUGGUCGCCCUGCGCCCCAGCGUCUGGGUGCAGUCGCCUUUGGCCCUUCCCUUUGUGGGAGGGCGGUGGUGUGCAGCGAGGAGGCAUGGCGAUGGUGAGGAGGAAGAGGCACGCUGAGAGAAGGGGUGCGAAGAUUCAGUAACUUCAAGAACCAGCGGAAAGGCAACUCCAGAGUUAAACCUCUCUAUCCAGUUCCUAUAUAAUCCAGACGAAAACUUGCAAAUGGAACAUGGCUUGAUCAAUCAGCUGUCAGUCACUAUGCAUUUACUGAGGGCUUGAUGAAUAUUCCAGAGCAUCACCAGGCUCAGAUGUUCAGCCCAGCUGCUCUCCAGCCCGAAUGCCCUUCUAAGCUGAGAUACUAUGACCUACUUUUCCCUCCCCUUUAA